This 253-nucleotide ribosomal RNA is filed under the name uncultured bacterium. RNAcentral describes it as "partial 16S ribosomal RNA". It matches the Rfam family "Bacterial small subunit ribosomal RNA", at positions 524 to 776 of the family's 1533-position model. The record is from RNAcentral.
UACGUAGGGUGCGAGCGUUGUCCGGAAUUAUUGGGCGUAAAGAGCUUGUAGGCGGUUUGUCGCGUCUGCUGUGAAAAUCCGGGGCUCAACCUCGGACUUGCAGUGGGUACGGGCAGACUAGAGUGUGGUAGGGGAGACUGGAAUUCCUGGUGUAGCGGUGGAAUGCGCAGAUAUCAGGAGGAACACCGAUGGCGAAGGCAGGUCUCUGGGCCAUUACUGACACUGAGAAGCGAAAGCAUGGGGAGCGAACAGG